GAGGGUAUAGCUCAGUGGUAGACUGCAUGCCUAUCAUGCAAGAGGUCCUGGGUUCAAUCCCUAAUACCUCCA
RNAcentral lists this transfer RNA (72 nucleotides) under Camelus bactrianus (Bactrian camel). It matches the Rfam family "tRNA". From Rfam's summary of the family: Transfer RNA (tRNA) molecules are approximately 80 nucleotides in length. Their secondary structure includes four short double-helical elements and three loops (D, anti-codon, and T loops). The record is from Rfam by way of RNAcentral. Lineage: Eukaryota; Metazoa; Chordata; Mammalia; Artiodactyla; Camelidae. RNAcentral also lists the same sequence under 1 other name.